ACGUACACAAGCAAAGCUGAAAAGUAUUAGAAAGUUGAAUGUUAUCGUUUUGACUUGUUUCAUGUGUAGUAAGUGUACCGAAUUGCUGACUUGACCAUAGCAUGCAUCGCUUUUUCGUCUGGAGAAAUAGACUCAGCUUGCUUCGAAGAUGUACGUACCUGUACCUAAGCCUGAUCCAUAUAAUCGUUUCAUCAAAGGUGCUUCGAAUAUCAUAGCGUUCCAAAAGAGCAAACCAGAUACUCAUUGCCAUAUAGUUUGCGCACAAAGUUUCCCAUCCAGUAAGCCAGAUCAGCUGGAGGCAUAUCCAGUAGUGGGAUCGGGACUGUUGGUCAGCAGGAGAAAUAAGUCGAGAACAUGCCCAGUCAGUCCAGAUAGCUUUAGAUAGUAUCUCCUUCUCCUUUGCAUCAGUUACUGGAUCUACAAACCUACUAAAACUUGCUAUUACGUCUAGCCAUAGAUAUAGGAGAGAGGGAUUGGAAACGGAAGUAGAUUUCAAUGUACUUCACAUAUGACCUCGAUAAACAUCCGCGCCUCGCUUAAUGAGGGCUAAUUUAUUCCCCAGUAACCUCGCGGGUAACUGAGAUUAUUGCAAAUUUAGGAUUUUAUGAGUUGUCACUAGUAUUCUGUCAAGUUUUCCAGUAUCCAGUGCAACUGUGCUUUAUAUAGAUAGUGAAUAACCAUUAUUCAAGCUCUAUUUACCGUUGCAACUAUCUUCUUCAUUGAAUUUAGCAAUACCUCGCAAGCCAAAACUUACUGAGUACGCUGAAGAAAAGAAGACAGAAGAAUACCCCUCCUCUCUACACCCUACACGUCACCUCCCUCGUAAAUGUUAUCGGCUGUUCCGGCUAUAUAUACACCCUUGUAUACCUCACCAGCUUCUCUCCAUCUAAGACUGUCUGAUUAGAGUGCUAAACUAAUCAUAAUUAUAGCUGUAAUAAUCAUUUUUAUCGUGUAAGUUUUUGUUAAUGUUGUUCGGUUUGA
Molecule: long non-coding RNA, 981 nt
Organism: Halichondria panicea
Lineage: Eukaryota; Metazoa; Porifera; Demospongiae; Suberitida; Halichondriidae
Exons: 2
Source: RefSeq, a predicted model, not a curated record